UCCAGACUCCUACGGGAGGCAGCAGUGGGGGAUAUUGCACAAUGGAGGAAACUCUGAUGCAGCGACGCCGCGUGAGGGAAGACGGUCUUCGGAUUGUAAACCUCUGUCUUUGGGGAAGAAAAUGACGGUACCCAAAGAGGAAGCUCCGGCUAACUACGUGCCAGCAGCCGCGGUAAUACGUAGGGAGCGAGCGUUGUCCGGAAUUACUGGGCGUAAAGGGCGCGUAGGCGGGAACUUAAGUUAGAUGUGAAAACUCCGGGCUUAACCUGGAGACUGCAUUUAAAACUGGGUUUCUUGAGGGCAGGAGAGGAAAGUGGAAUUCCUAGUGUAGCGGUGAAAUGCGUAGAUAUUAGGAGGAACACCAGUGGCGAAGGCGACUUUCUGGACUGUACCUGACGCUGAGGCGCGAAAGCAUGGGGAGCGAACAGGAUUAGAUACCCCAGUA
This 445-nucleotide ribosomal RNA is filed under the name uncultured bacterium. RNAcentral describes it as "bacterial SSU rRNA". It matches the Rfam family "Bacterial small subunit ribosomal RNA", at positions 330 to 792 of the family's 1533-position model. The record is from RNAcentral.